Molecule: ribosomal RNA, 454 nt
Filed under: uncultured bacterium
Lineage: Bacteria
Description: bacterial SSU rRNA
Rfam family: Bacterial small subunit ribosomal RNA
Source: RNAcentral
ACUCCUACGGGAGGCAGCAGUGGGGAAUAUUGCACAAUGGGCGCAAGCCUGAUGCAGCCAUGCCGCGUGUAUGAAGAAGGCCUUCGGGUUGUAAAGUACUUUCAGCAGUGAGGAAGGUGGGUAUGUUAAUAGCAUAUUCAUUUGACGUUAGCUGCAGAAGAAGCACCGGCUAACUCCGUGCCAGCAGCCGCGGUAAUACGGAGGGUGCGAGCGUUAAUCGGAAUUACUGGGCGUAAAGCGCAUGCAGGUGGUUUGUUAAGUCAGAUGUGAAAGCCCGGGGCUCAACCUCGGAAUUGCAUUUGAAACUGGCAAACUAGAGUACUGUAGAGGGGGUAGAAUUUCAGGUGUAGCGGUGAAAUGCGUAGAGAUCUGAAGGAAUACCGGUGGCGAAGGCGGCCCCUGGACAGAUACUGACACUCAGAUGCGAAAGCGUGGGAGCAAACGAGGAUUAGAU